CAAAGAUCAUCUUUUUUUCAUCUUUGUCCUUGACUGCCAUGGUUUUGUGUGUCAAUAAUCCUUGAUACAGGAUGAGACUUUUCUACAUGUCAGUGCUCUUUAUCAUUUUGUUCUUUUUUGCCUAGACCAUCCUGAAGAUUUUUCUGUGUGCUGAAGUUUCACCCAAAGGGGACAAGUGGGCCACACUAGCCACGUACCGCAACAUCCCAUUUGGUGAAGUUUGGACACCGCAAAACCCUUUGGAACCCUGAUCCUCUCCUGACUGUAAAAUGGUCCUGUUAAUGCUGGCUAAAACUCCUGCUAGGCAUUUGCUGUCUGCGCUGGAAGCCAUUCAAUAAGAAGCAACCAUUUAUAAGAUGCACACCCACGUGAUGAAAUAAACCACAGAUUAUCAAAGGCUUUAGGAGUUUU
This 411-nucleotide long non-coding RNA is filed under the name Zonotrichia albicollis (white-throated sparrow). RNAcentral describes it as "lncRNA (ENSZALG00000003376.1)". The record is from RNAcentral. Lineage: Eukaryota; Metazoa; Chordata; Aves; Passeriformes; Passerellidae.